This 402-nucleotide ribosomal RNA is filed under the name uncultured Methylobacterium sp. RNAcentral describes it as "bacterial SSU rRNA". It matches the Rfam family "Bacterial small subunit ribosomal RNA", at positions 353 to 772 of the family's 1533-position model. The record is from RNAcentral. Lineage: Bacteria; Pseudomonadati; Pseudomonadota; Alphaproteobacteria; Hyphomicrobiales; Methylobacteriaceae.
AGUGGGGAAUAUUGGACAAUGGGCGCAAGCCUGAUCCAGCCAUGCCGCGUGAGUGAUGAAGGCCUUAGGGUUGUAAAGCUCUUUCGACGGGGACGAUAAUGACGGUACCCGUAGAAGAAGCCCCGGCUAACUUCGUGCCAGCAGCCGCGGUAAUACGAAGGGGGCUAGCGUUGCUCGGAAUUACUGGGCGUAAAGGGCGCGUAGGCGGACGUUUAAGUCGGGGGUGAAAGCCCAGGGCUCAACCCUGGAAUUGCCUUCGAUACUGGACGUCUCGAGACCGGUAGAGGUAAGCGGAACUGCGAGUGUAGAGGUGAAAUUCGUAGAUAUUCGCAAGAACACCAGUGGCGAAGGCGGCUUACUGGACCGGUUCUGACGCUGAGGCGCGAAAGCGUGGGGAGCAAA